Molecule: transfer RNA, 77 nt
Filed under: Hyphomicrobiales bacterium
Lineage: Bacteria; Pseudomonadati; Pseudomonadota; Alphaproteobacteria; Hyphomicrobiales
Description: Rhizobiales bacterium tRNA-Pro
Rfam family: tRNA
About the family: Transfer RNA (tRNA) molecules are approximately 80 nucleotides in length. Their secondary structure includes four short double-helical elements and three loops (D, anti-codon, and T loops). Further hydrogen bonds mediate the characteristic L-shaped molecular structure. tRNAs have two regions of fundamental functional importance: the anti-codon, which is responsible for specific mRNA codon recognition, and the 3' end, to which the tRNAs corresponding amino acid is attached (by aminoacyl-tRNA synthetases). tRNAs cope with the degeneracy of the genetic code in two manners: having more than one tRNA (with a specific anti-codon) for a particular amino acid; and 'wobble' base-pairing, i.e. permitting non-standard base-pairing at the 3rd anti-codon position.
Source: RNAcentral
CGGAGUGUAGCGCAGCCGGGUAGCGCACUUGACUGGGGGUCAAGGGGUCGUCGGUUCGAAUCCGGCCACUCCGACCA